GUCUAGGUACAUACCUUAAAACGGUGAAACCGCGAAUGGCUCAUUAAAUCAGCUAUGGUUCCUUAGAUCACAUACUACGUGGAUAACUGUAGUAAUUCUAGAGCUAAUACAUGUAAUUAUGCCCUGACCCGCAAGGGAACGGGUGCAUUAAUUAGAACAGAACCAACCGGGGGCAGUUUCGACUGUCUCUGUUGAAUUCUGUGAUGACUCUGGAUAACUUUAAUGAUCGCAGUCGGCGACGGAUCUUUCAAAUAUCUGCUCUAUCAAUUUGUAUAUCAUAAAGUAACAGGUGAG
Molecule: non-coding RNA, 294 nt
Filed under: Trichobilharzia regenti
Lineage: Eukaryota; Metazoa; Platyhelminthes; Trematoda; Strigeidida; Schistosomatidae
Description: Eukaryotic small subunit ribosomal RNA
Rfam family: Eukaryotic small subunit ribosomal RNA
Source: Rfam by way of RNAcentral